Molecule: long non-coding RNA, 1349 nt
Filed under: Ananas comosus (pineapple)
Lineage: Eukaryota; Viridiplantae; Streptophyta; Magnoliopsida; Poales; Bromeliaceae
Description: long non-coding RNA (ACOM_LNC032206)
Source: RNAcentral
AAAAUAUAAUAAUAAAUUUUGGCUAAAAUCAUUGGUUGCUAUUAGGGAUGCAAACGGGGCGGAUCCGGGGGCGGGAGAGUUCUCCCACCUCCCGCUCCAUUUCUUAUCGGGACGGGGCGGAUUCGGGGCGGGUUACUUUUCAUUUUAUUUUUGGCUCCCACUUACCGCUUCAUUCGGGGCGGAUCGAGACGGGAGCCGGAUUUUUGACGGAUCGGGACGGAUUGAAGGAAGAAAUGAGUCUCCCACCUCCCGCUCCAUUUACUUGACGGAUCCGGACGGAUUCGGAGCGGGUUAUAUUUUUUUAUAUUUUUUGUUCCCACUUACCACCCCAUUCGGGACGGAUCGGGGCGGAGCUCCACCAACCCGGAUCCAUUUACAUCCCUAGUUGCUAUUAAUUGAUUGAUUAAAAAGGAGAGUGACUGUGCCCUCUUGCUUCCUUAUUGAUUUUUCGAUUCUUUAUUCUGUAGUGUAAUGACAAAAUGCUACAUCGCCAACAAUCGUGUACGACUGAUGGAGAGGAUCAUCAGCAUGAUCAAUUCAUCAGUCACGUGAGCCCCACAUACCAUAGAAUCAAUCAAUCUAUUCUCCUUUUCCUAUAAUAUAGAUUACACGUGCGAAAAUUAUGUAGGAGAGGAGAUAUUUUGGUAAUGAUAUUGUUAAUGUCGGUGGUAAUAGUGAAAAUGAGAGAAUAAUUUGAAAAUUUUAAUUAGUAAAUAGUUGUGUCCUUUUAGUAAAAUAGUUAUUUUUAUAAAAUAAUAUAUCUUUUUAUUUGAUGCAAAAAUGAAUUUCUUUACGAAGAGAUAUAUUUUAUCACAAAGAGAUAACCUUUUUGUGAUAAAAUAUGUUUUUUUACUUUUUAUGAAUGGACAUGUUCCUUCGUAAAAAUAUAUAAUUUUAAAAGCUGUGUUCUUUUAUCAUAAUCAUUUAUUUGCUAUAAAUAUGAGAUGUUUAAAGGCUUCAAAGAUAAUAUAAUUAAUCUUUUCUCUUUUCUAAUUUUUCAUACUGAUUUUUAAGAAAUAAGUUAUUGAGAAAAGCCUUCAAAAGUACUGUUUGCAGUCUUUCAACGAUUUUAUUGUAUCCUGAUGAUGAUUUGCUGAUAACCUAGUAGUAUACAUUUGAGUGGGAACAAAUAUUAUCUUAAAAAAAAUGAUCUUACACAUCACAAGAUCGUAAUUUACUUGAUCUUUAUUUAUAUUCUCCAAAAGAUUUUUUUUUUUUUUUUGAGAGAGAAAAGUAGCAUGCUAUCCGAUUCGUUUAUUUCAUUUAGAAAUAAAUUUAGCUAAAAAAUGUGAAUCAACUAAGAUUCGAAAUUAGGUUUCGGGUACCAACCACCAAACCCUUUGCCACUN